This 253-nucleotide ribosomal RNA is filed under the name uncultured bacterium. RNAcentral describes it as "partial 16S ribosomal RNA". It matches the Rfam family "Bacterial small subunit ribosomal RNA", at positions 524 to 776 of the family's 1533-position model. The record is from RNAcentral.
UACAGAGGUCUCAAGCGUUGUUCGGAUUCAUUGGGCGUAAAGGGUGCGUAGGCGGCGCGGUAAGUCGGGUGUGAAAUCUUGGAGCUUAACUCCGAAACUGCAUUCGAUACUGCCGUGCUUGAGGACUGGAGAGGAGACUGGAAUUUACGGUGUAGCGGUGAAAUGCGUAGAUAUCGUAAGGAAGACCAGUGGCGAAGGCGGGUCUCUGGACAGUUCCUGACGCUGAGGCACGAAGGUCAGGGGAACAAACGGG